UACGUAGGGUGCAGGCGUUGUUCGGAAUCACUGGGCGUAAAGCGCGUGUAGGCGGCCAAGUAAGUGGGAUGUGAAAUCCCCCGGCUUACCCGGGGACCUGCAUCUCAUACUGCUUGGCUUGAGUAUGGGAGAGGAUGAGGGAAUUCCAGGUGUAGCGGUGAAAUGCGUAGAUAUCUGGAGGAACACCGGUGGCGAAGGCGGCAUCCUGGACCAACACUGACGCUGAGUGAGCGAAAGCCAGGGGAGCAAGCGGG
Molecule: ribosomal RNA, 254 nt
Filed under: uncultured bacterium
Lineage: Bacteria
Description: partial 16S ribosomal RNA
Rfam family: Bacterial small subunit ribosomal RNA
Source: RNAcentral